UACCCUGGUAGUCCACACAGUAAACGAUGAAUACUCGCUGUUUGCGAUAUACAGUAAGCGGCCAAGCGAAAGCAUUAAGUAUUCCACCUGGGGAGUACGCCGGCAACGGUGAAACUCAAAGGAAUUGACGGGGGCCCGCACAAGCGGAGGAACAUGUGGUUUAAUUCGAUGAUACGCGAGGAACCUUACCCGGGCUUAAAUUGCACCUGAAUAACGUGGAAACAUGUUAGCCGCAAGGCAGGUGUGAAGGUGCUGCAUGGUUGUCGUCAGCUCGUGCCGUGAGGUGUCGGCUUAAGUGCCAUAACGAGCGCAACCCUUAUCUUUAGUUACUAACAGGUCAUGCUGAGGACUCUAGAGAGACUGCCGUCGUAAGAUGUG
Molecule: ribosomal RNA, 378 nt
Filed under: uncultured bacterium
Lineage: Bacteria
Description: bacterial SSU rRNA
Rfam family: Bacterial small subunit ribosomal RNA
Source: RNAcentral